This is a long non-coding RNA of Coffea eugenioides, 280 nucleotides long. RefSeq lists it as uncharacterized. NCBI's taxonomy places the organism in Eukaryota, Viridiplantae, Streptophyta, Magnoliopsida, Gentianales, Rubiaceae. The transcript has 3 exons. The record is from RefSeq and is a predicted model, not a curated record.
AAUAUCUACUUGUGAUUAAGCUGCAGGCAAUGCUCUCGGCUUUCCUAACUGGUACCCUGUCCGCUUCAAACCGAUCAAUAUUUAGCUCAAGAAGAAGCUAAUCAGAAAGUGAAGGCAUCAAAAGAGAUUCUACUUCCCAUAAAAUGAAUGUGAUAAUUGGAAAGGGCCUGGAGUUGAAAAUUUGGAAUCCAUAAGCAAAAGCUGGAAAAGAUUAUUGUGGAAUGGACAACAUGCUACUGUCUUUAAUUGCAGAAUUUGUUUCACAUUUUUAAUUUGAAUG